Molecule: ribosomal RNA, 235 nt
Filed under: uncultured bacterium
Lineage: Bacteria
Description: partial 16S ribosomal RNA
Rfam family: Bacterial small subunit ribosomal RNA
Source: RNAcentral
AUUGAACGCUAGCGGGAUGCUUUACACAUGCAAGUCGAACGGCAGCACGAGAGAGCUUGCUCUCUUGGUGGCGAGUGGCGGACGGGUGAGUAAUAUAUCGGAACGUGCCCAGUAGCGGGGGAUAACUACUCGAAAGAGUGGCUAAUACCGCAUACGCCUACGGGGAAACGGGGGGAGUUCUUCGGAACCUCUCACUAUUGGAGCGGCCGAUAUCGGAUUAGUCUAGUUGGUGGGG